RNAcentral lists this long non-coding RNA (29078 nucleotides) under Musa acuminata (dwarf banana). Its description in RNAcentral is "long non-coding RNA (MACU_LNC000299)". Lineage: Eukaryota; Viridiplantae; Streptophyta; Magnoliopsida; Zingiberales; Musaceae. The record is from RNAcentral.
GUCUCGCAGGACCAGCUUGUAGUUCUUGUACUCGAGGAUCUUGCCGAUGGGCAAGAUCGAGUAGGAGUAGAAGACGUAGUCGGUGGUGACGUUGGGGUGCUCGUUGCCGGCGUCAUGCAGUGAUGGCGGGUUGGAGCUGGACCAGAUGGCGGGCCCGUAAAUGCCGAGCCCGCCGUUCCACUGCAGAAGGAAGGCGUAGCUCCCCUGGACGGACUUCUUGCCGCUGCUCCACAGCGGGUAGUUCAUGUCAUGCUUAACGGCGGCUUCGCCGUUGGAGUCAACGGUGAGGUAGCAGUCGGUGCCGAGGCCGGUGGUGUUGGUGGCCCAGGUCUUCUGGUUGUGGAAGCGGAGGACGAGGUCGCAGUCGUGGUUCAUGGAGAGGGAGGCGGGGCCGUAGGGGAUGCCCUGGGGAGUGAGGUCGUACUGGAAGCUUUGACCCGGGAGGAGAGCGGUGGGCGGGUCGGAGUAGAUGACGAAGUCGGUGCUGGCCAUACCAAGCGGAGCGAGGAGGCCGACGAAGGUGGCGAGGAGCACGAUGAGAAGAGCCAUCGGAGUUGGGUGAAUGGCGCUCAUCACGUAGUUGAGAUUGGCUUGUCAUGAACAACGAUAUAAAAGACAAAGGAGGCGUGCUCGUGAUGGUACUGUAGGUGCGUUUCUUCGAGGAUCUCGUGAACACGAGAUCCACAUGCACCCUUGGUUCAAGAGAUCCACAUGCACCCUUGUUUAUUAUUGGUAUUUACGUGGCUCCAAUUGGACUCUACGAUACGUCGGGGAUGCUUUCGCGACAAGGAACAACUUGAACAGAGAGAUAAGAGAUUCGGACACGUGGAGGGAGAAGAUAUAUACUAUGAAGUACCAAUGAGAGCAUUUCCUUUGUCUGAGGCAGAGAGGUACCUAACACUUACAUGAACGUUGGGUGAUGGCAAGUGAUCGAGGUGGAAAGUCGAUUAUAAGAUCUUGCUGACAACAAGAGCUAACACUUUGGUUUGUAUAUUAAAUGUGCAAAUUGCUGGAGCGCUACGCUUGCUGCAUUGGAUCACGGAAGUGUUUGGUAGCGAUACAAAAGGAAAGUAAAUGAGCAUUAUUAAGAUACAAGCAAAUGGAUAAGGUUCAGGCACCCCACACCACCCCGACCUCCCAAUAGACUUGGGCCAGUGGGGUCCUCAGUCAUCUUGUCUUGUCUGUCACGCCGACUCUGACGUCACCGUCUCACCCGAUCAGAAGCCUAAGAACCGCAUUGAUGGAUGCAACGUGCGCGCCCCGACAAACAAAUUGAAGCAGAAGAACCCCCACAUCUUUUACUUAAGAGAGUCAACGAGGCAAAUCCAGUCCAUGUAAAACAUGCAAUAUGGAAUCGAAAGAUCUGUGUCCAAUACAUAUAUGUCCGGACUUUUGGAGUUUCCCCUUACUGUAGUGUAAGCCUUAAGCAGUUUAUAGAUUAAAGUGGCACACAGCGAGCAGAUGGACUUUUCUAUUACAUUGCUCACAGCCGUAGCAGAGGAUAAAUUAAGCCUUCUGUGGCCAGGUUCUAUGGUGGGAUGAUCAAUCUAGAGCAGCUUUGCUUCUCCAAACACUGAUCUGUUUCGAUAGACCAUAGAAAAUUGGCCUUGUAACAGUAUCAGGCUUCGAAGUCCAUUUAGAAGAAGAGGUCCAUACAGAGUCAUUUUCUGAUUCCUGCAAACUCGGGGUGCUUGAUGACUUCCUUACUGCGAGAAACCCAUUGGCUACAAGAGACUCCUCCAAUGAACUUGUGCUUUGGCGUGCCGACUCAGUAUCGUUGUAACUCACUAGCAACUGCUUUGGGGUUAACCCUCUCACCAUCCUUCCUAGGAGGCUUUGGCUCUCAUCCUUGACAACUGCCUCGGAGAUGCCGAAAGGAUCAGCAUCGGCUCUCUGACGCCGCCUGACAGGCUUAUCGGUCUUGGAAUUCUCACCAUCACUGGAAUCCCCAGAUCUACUGACUAGUAAUUCUUGCAUAAGGUCACCUUCUUCCGAAAGGAAGCUGUUGAUGAAACCUCUUGACCUCCGAGGCUGUGAGUUAGAAGCCGGUGACACUUUAGGAAGUGGUUCAUCUUUGGAGUUCAGUGCACCACCUGUUUUGUAUAAGGUCAUUUCGGUGCCUUCAGCUGUAGGACUCCUUUCAUGUUGUGGAAGAUCAUAGUAUCUUCGCAAGCUACACAUGGCAGACGAGAUUUCACGAUGUUGUUGGGAUUUCGACUUCAAUGGCUGGGGAGAAUCUAAGACAUCUCUCUGAGGACGACAGAUAGGAGUCCGAUCCCUGUGAGUACAAAUACUUAAAACUCCAUAAUAUUUUACAUUACAACGGCUAAGCAAAAACAGAAGCUUUUACCAUAUAAAUUGCUUAAAAGAGAAAAAAUAAGGCUUAUCAUGUGCAUAAAAACACAGGCCUCUUAUCAAGGAAAAAGCUCUAUAUGAAACCAGCAUGUCGACCACUACAUAAAACCGCUUGACAUCGAUUAAUCCCAUCUACAAAAAUCCAAACCAGCUAUUUGUAUCAUUAAAUGUACUUAGAUGUUACCCGAUUAUUUUAUCGUGAUUACAAAAAGCCACCAGAACAAUUCACUCCACCGUAUGCUCAGCUCCUGAUGUUUGUUUUGACAUUUGCAUUCUUUCGAUUUGACUGUGUUUUGCCCCUUCCGGAAGAUAUUAUGCAGAAAAUGCAACUAAUAUAACACUAAGUAAGAAUUUGCAUAUUCAUAUAAGCUGCAAGUCUCCCUCGUUCAUGUCUUGAUCAUGCAUGUUUAGAAUUUAAAUUUGCCUAUGUUCCACUGGUUGAAAAAUGCAAACAAAUUUAAGAUGUAGCAUCUUAAAGGCUUAAGGCGCAUGCAAGGGACCUUCCAUGCAUAUCAAAUUCUUGAGGAGGAAACUUUACCAAGAAUUAACUCAGCAACUCAUUGUAGCUCUCUUAGGCUCCUGAAUGCAACAAUUGCAAGAUAUGAACUUAAGCAGAUCCUUUAACAAGUCAAAUAAAUAGGCAGAUUAAUGUUUGGACUUAAAUGACAAGUCAUCAAGGAAUGGUUACAACAACAUGACCAGGUCUUCGAUUGCUGACAGAGGUCAGAAGCAACACGGUAAGGAAUAUGACAUGUGAAAGAUAAUGCAAGUAUCAGCAGUUGUCAUAUUCCUUCAGAGACCUAAUAUAUUUAGUAGAAGAAAGAUAAAGAGAUAAUGCACAGCUGCAGCAGCAACAUAAAUAGCAUCAUGAUCAGCUUGCAAUGUAAUUUCCUCUAAAAUAAAUAUAUUUCAAGUUUUGAUAGUGUUUAGUUGGAUCAAUAACAACUUAACAAAGAAAAUAGAAUAUGUUUCAGCAAUAGAAAAACAUCUAAAAAAUUAGAAAAAUAUCAUAUUAUUUCUCCCAAUUAUAAUAAUAGUGGUUAUUACGAAAAACAGAUCCCUUCACAUGAAAGAAAAUAGAAACAGAGGGGGCAAUAGAGCAUGUGUUUUGCUUAGAAAGAUUUCCAAUCAAGUAAAUACUUGAAGUCAACCAUGGAGAGUCAGGAACACCAAAACUGAGAGAGUUAUCCCUUCCCUAUUUCUCAAACAAAUAUAUUCAAUGUAUAUCAACUUAUCACCAUACUAUUAGAAGAUGAUUGACCAUCUAAUAGCAUAGGAUAAAUGCUUGGAUCUCAGUGAGGAUCUAAAGGUGUAUUUAGAUUUUGUAGUGUCUUAAGAUCAACACAGUUAUUUGUCCUAUGAAGAAAGCAGCACUCAUAUAAGUAGCAGGCAGUAUGUGAGAAAUACCUGUUAUCAACAAAACCAUUAGAUCGAAUAGGAGGAGAUGGGGGAUGCCUUCCAGGAAGAGGAAUAAGCAAUGAUUUGUGAGCAAACAUCUGAAGAUCCAUCACUAGACCAUUAAUCCGUUUGAUAUCUGCAACCUUUUGGUAAUCAACAAAGAACAAUCUCGUCACUUAAUCAAACCAUUAAACCAUUCAUCCUUGCUACAUGAGAACGUUGCUGAUAGUUUUUCAAGCAUUAGUUAGAUCAUAUACAAUAAAAUGCAAUUGUUCAUAGUGAAAACAGUUCAUUAAUCUACACGAAAGAGUUCUCCGAUGAAGGAUAAAGUGCAUUAUGCCGAGAGUAUACUUACCAACAACCAAUAAAUUCCUUACAUUACAUUACACAGAUUCAAACUUGCGACUGCAACUUACCAACAACCAAUAGUGUACUAACCACUCGAAUAUCUCAACAGUGAUGCAAUACAAAAGUACAGAUGCUUGAAGGCCAUGCAUGACUUAUGUAUAUCUAGUUGCCAUAGGAAGGCAUAGCUGGCUGUUAUCACAUCAGCUUUGACAUUUUCCUUUUCUUUUUUUUUUUCCUCUUUUCCAAGAAGGUCGAACUAAUGAAAUUGGAUCCUCGCUAAGCUUUCUCUGGAUAAGGACAAUGGUUAGCUAUGAAAUUCAAUUCAAUUCAAUUCUAAAUUAAAGAAUUGCAAAAUUGCGGUUCAAUCCAAGAAUCUUGCUAUCAUCAGUCAAGAUUUUUACCAACUAAGCUACGUGACGUGCAUAGCUAGCUUUAUCGUUUAUUACACUCCUCAAGCUACGUUUAUUACACACCCAACGAUUAAGCAUGAAAAGAAGAAAGUAAAAGGGGCCAUUAUUUCUUACGCAAUAUUGAUCAAACAAGAACAGUUUUCCUUAUUCUCAAGUAACAAACCAAUCUCAUCAGGUAAUCCAUCCAGCUCAUGCAAAAGCCACAAAAAUCUACGCCAUAUUUAGCAAAAGAAGAAUCCCAAUUACCUCGACGCCGUAUUUUAUGGCGAUGCCAGCAAGCGUGUCCAACUUGGACACAUUAUGCUCGAUGUACUUCGCACCCGAAGAAUUGGACGAACAAAGGGAGGGAGAGGGAGAGGGAGAGAGAGAGGAAGAAAUCGACGACGGGAAGGAAGCACCGGCAUCGCUCUUCCUCUCAUGGGAAAGAGAUCCCAUCUAAGCCCUUUGAAUGAAGAAAGGCCAAACAGAAUUCAAUCGGAAAAGAACACCUAAAAUUCCGUGUUCGAUCGGCAAUGCCAGAGACACUGAAAAGAACCCUAAAUCGAUAGAUCUCGAGCUAGGGAUCAAGAUCUCAUCGGAUUUCACGACGGGAUUCGGCUCGGAACUGGUGGAAUGCAGCGAAUCCAAGCGCUCCGCUGCCCCAAGAAUGGAGUGGGAAUCUGGGGAGGAAGAGAGUGGGAGAAGACUUCCUUUUUAUUUUGAAGCUCACACGAGGCUUAUAACUGCGGCUCGACGCGGUACGAGGGGUCCGGUGGUACGUGUCAAGACGCGGGGGGACGUCUAAGAAUUCUUCUGUGCAUUUUCAAGUUGGGUUGUCGCUGUCUGACAGAGGAGAGGUGUGGGUGGGUGUAUUAUUAGGCUCUUUCCCUCCUCGCCGCUAGUUUCGCUUUAUUAGGAUUCUUUCCACCGACGCUUCUAAUUAAAGAACGGCGGAAUCUGAUUGGAUAAGGAAUUCCAUAUGACAAUUAAUUAAUUGGUAGAGGAACGGUAAUAGUGUGAUUGACUCAUUAUUUUAGGCUUUCAAAAUUUCAUAAGAUCUCGACUCAAUGAUAAAUUCUUGAACCAUUAGCAGAUGGAAUUAAUCAUUUGAAUAAUACAUAAAAAUUUAUUACACUUGAUCAGAAUGAAUUCCUACUGAUCGAAUGAACAAAAUAAACAAUAUUAAGCAGUAGCAUAGAAUCAAUCGUGUAAAUGAAAACAUACUAUUUUUCAACAAUUCAUGGGACAAAUAUGUACCGAUAUACCAACCUGUAUAUCAUGAUAUCAAUCAAAAAAAUAGAGAAAAAAUAAAGUUGGUAUCGACUGUACGUACCGAUUGGUCUUUGAAACCUUAAUUAGACACCAGCCAUCAAUCCGAUAUAGCAGGUCCACUAGAUUUGUAUAGAAAACCAUCGUUUGAAUUCCACAUAAUGAUUUCUCUGAGUAAAAGUAGAUGAUGGUAUCCCAUGGCCAAAUCUUUUGCACUUCAAUGCUCAUUUGAGAGUAAAGUUGAACUCAGUAAGAAAAUAAAAUUGAACUGGACAAGUUAUUGACAGAGAAAUGAAACAGUAUGUACAACCCCAAAAAAUAUUGUGGAAGGAGAGGAAAUAUACUUUCACCAAGUAAAUUUGGCUGCUAAGAGGCAUUUACAAAUUUAGGCAAUACACGAUAAAGCUACAGAAGGAUCACACUGAAUCAGUAACCUAUUGAUUCUCUUGUAUCGAUCAUCUUCUGCCACUUUCUUGGGCAUGCAGAAGGCUGCUUCAGAUAUUAGCCUGUCAUAUACAGAGAUAUGUUACGGCUAAAGAGAAGAAAUUACAGGACAAGAAAAGGUUUUUGUACCAUGAGAACAGAUGUUCUUCUCUAAUCUCCCAGAAGUUGUAUUUCCAUUCAGGACAUGCUUUCUCCCUGCAAUGCAAGCCACAAAUCAUGCUCUUGUGAACAUGGUCAAUCCUUCCUCUAAAUGAAAACUAUCGCUCAGGCAUGUCGCUUUGUUGAUGGGAAUAAAGCAUUUGGUCCUCGGUUUCCAUGCUUCAAACAUUGUAUGCCUCAAGCACCUUAAAAUCAUCCUAAGAUGGACCUCAAUCACAUUUCAUGGUCUAAAAAUCUUCAUAGUUCUGGAAACCUGGGUACGACAGAAUGGGCAGCGAGAAACAGCAGCAGAGCAUCUUAGACAUAAAACAUGUCCACAGGGAACAAUCGUGAUGUUCACCUCAGCACUAAGACACACUCGACAUGACCAUGCUGUCUUAGCUGCAUCAGCUUCUCUCACUGCUGCAUCGACCUUUUCCUGCAAAUAUUUUGAUGGACAUUAAAUGCAAACUUCCUGCUGAUUUGUAUACUCUUACUGACUACCACGACAACAUACAGAUCAAAGGCAAAAGACAAAAAAAGGUCACAAAUAAAUGAGUACUAGUGAGAGUCUACAAGAUAGCUAUUUUUGGUGUUGGCAUAAGAGAUCAAGCUUUACAACCAAUAUCACAGCUCCAAAGUACAACAAUAUGAUAUUAGGUUUGUUUUUAUUAAGAUACUAUUAAAGGUGAGAUGAAAUCUCAAUCCAUUUUUGGCAGUCAGUUAAUCACUUAAAUAAAUCUGGUUGUCCGAGUAUGAAUGAAACAGAUCUCUGCAAUAACACAUUUUCUCUUCUGAGCUGCCUAAUUAUUAUGUGGAGUGUCAGGAUAUAUAAUUUGUCAUCAGAUCUCAUGUCCAUUUGGGCAGCACUUCUAAAGCAAAUUCUCCUUCAUUAUCACAUAAACCAGAUCUACUAUGCUCUCAGAGUCAGCCUUCUCCAUCACCAACAAAAUAAGUGGAAGUUUAUCCUAAAUCUAUGCUAAUUUAGCUUCGAGGACUGUUUCCUAACCAGUUACUAAGAAAAAUCUUGAGUAUCCAUGUUUUCAUGGAUAACCAUUUAGCAACCAAAGUAACAGAUACUUAAGUUCCAAAAAUGAAAAAAAAGGACCCUUUCUUUUUGAGAUCAUCGGAAGGCUGAAUCCCUAUGUUUUCAUAUCACAAUUUCCGGUUACCAGUUAUUUUUACCUGGAGCACCACACUUUCAUGUGAGCCACCAUGGAUAGACAUUAGGGAAAAGAAACCCUCUCUGUUGAAGAAACCAAUCAGCAAUGAUUUUUUUUUCACUUCCAUUGGUUACUUGGGAAUGAUUUAGUUGCUUCUACAAAAUAUUAAAAAACUUAAUUGAGGUUUGAACUAAAAUAGCUCACUAUGGCGAUCAAGAAAAAUCCUUUUUUUUUAAGGUUUACUUAGUUCAUUAAAAUUAUUUCAAACUCCAAUAUUUUUUCUAGAAAUUUUUGGAUAGACUCGUUGUCUUAAUGUACAAAACAAUAUGUUUUUUCCUUUUUUUACUUUCCUCCACUUUGUCUAGGUGUCUGUAGAGAGUCUGGGAGAGGUCUGGCCACAAAGACCAAAUAAGAGGGGUUCCCAACCUAUUUACCCAAAGUGUCCAAAAAAUAUGCUGGUGCUAAUAUGGGUUUCAAGGUCAUAAAAUUGAUGUGACUAGUUUCUUGUCGUAGAGAUAUGACUUCUCUGGUUAUGCAAUUGACAUCAUAGCUCAUAUUUAAUUUGUCCUUUAGAAUAGAGGUUUAGGAAUCCAAUUUUUGGAUGUCUGCCCUUCAAUAGAUCAUAAUUUGGCCAUUCUCAGUGUCGACUAGUUGGGAGACUUAAAUUCUAUGUGUGUGUGAGAAAGGUUCUCAUUUUCAAUUCCAACUUGAGAUAAAAUUAAUUACUAGCAAAUAACCUCACUACACAAAAGAAUUGUUACCUUUGUGGUUCAUACUUCCAUGCUAUUCAUUAAAAAGUUUGUUUAAUCAUUUUGAAACAUCUUCACUCCAUUUUAUCAAAUUACACAAAAGGAUAAAAAUGACUUUCUUGUAUGAUAUGUGUAUGAAAGAUCUUAUUUUGUACAUCAUUGACAUCCCUAUAGACUACCACAAGAAACAAAAGAAACUUUCAUGAAGACAACAGAUAUUAAUUGCAUCUAUAUUUGACCACUAUGUUAUUGGUAAUUUUUUAUAUUCAAUCUGACAUGUUCAGCAACAUUUAACUAUAUCAGAAAUUUUGGUUUGUGAAACAAGAAAUGCAGGAACCUAGGAAGAAACAAACCUGCUCGACCAAAAGAGCAACCUGAGAUUCUUUCAGCUGUUCUUGCAGAGUUAACGUUGUUUGGAGAAGUGUUUGCUUCUCAGCAUCCAUAUUAAUUCCAGCAGCCCAAAGCAUGUCAUGGACUGCUUGCACCAAUUCUUGCGCAGAUACUUUUCCAUAUUGGAGUUCUUUUGAAGUCUGCCAUAAAGAAAACCUUUAGCAUUUAAUGAGCUAAGCCCAACUAAAAAAUAAUUAUGAGCCCUUAGCAGUCUAACCUGGCUUUUCAUCUUCUCAUUUCCAGAAUCCUUGGAUGUCUGGCCAUGAAGCAUUCGAUUUCUGUUUAUGCCUUCAUUGUCCUCUCUUAAGGAUGGCAUGCAAGCCACAUUGGACAUAGAAACACUUUUGAAAGAGAAAACCUGUGAAGAAAGUAGUACUUGGGUUUCUCCAGGAGCAAUCUCCACAGGAAAUCUGUACAGUGCUUGACCAGCUGAUGGCUUUACAUCUUCUGGAACUCUACCAUACCUAAGUUUCUCCCCUUCUCUUCCUGUCUUCCAUGCAACUAUUUCUCCUGAGUAAAAUGGUCGUACUGGAAGGAACUGCACCUGAAGAGCAUCUUGAGAUAAUAAUUCUUUUCCCACUAAAGAAUUGUUUUUACUUUCACGUUUUAUGGUUCCAUGUUCAGACCCUAAUUUUAGUGCUCUGAGAACUGCUUUUUCUGAACCAUCUUGGCAGGCAAAAAGUGGCCCAAAUGGUAGAGUCACCGGUGCCCCCAAAACCUGGCUUGUGACAGUGGCAACUACAUCAUACACUGUCAUAAAACUUGGAGGCUCUGCAAUCAAAAUGUGAUCCUUUGAUUUGUCUAUGAAGUAAACAGUUCGAUGUUUAACACUGUCGUCCCAUUCAACAAUGGUGGAAUGCUUGGUUAUCCGUGUAAUAUCCAGGAGCUUUGGAAGUAAAAGAAAUCGAGUGUGGAGCCAUUGAACAAAUUGCAAAUUUUCUGCAAUAUGUUCCAGUAGAUGCCUUAUCUGCGAUAAACCAAGGUCUUCAAGUGAUGGAUAGUGAUUAGAAAUGUUACCCAAUAACAUUAACACUGCCUCUUGCAAUGAUUUGCUAAAAAGCUUUUCUUUUACUCUACUAAGAGACACAGACCCAAUCUGGCUAACAACCUGUAAUUUUGGUCCAUCCAAUUCCUGCACAAAAUAAGGAAAAAGAAACAAUUUACAGUCAACAUUAUGUUCAUUUCAGAGAAACCUACACCAUGCGAAAAGGUUGUUCCCGCACCUCAAUGACAAUGUCAGAAAGUUUCUUGACACCAAAGGCCAUAAAUAUACUUUCCGAAAGUUCUGGAUGAGCAAAUCUUAACCUGGAGGUGUCUAUAUUACUAAGAAAUUGUGACCCAUAGUAAUCAACAUAUACACAUGAUCUUGCCAGAACAAGCCUGCAGCCAUCAUCUGGGAUUAUUGCAUCAGAUAACCAAUCUAGUUCAGAUGAUGUUGAAAGAACAACCUCAGAACACAUAAAAUUCAGAAUCAUGAUUACCGCACGAAGUUCAUUAGGAUUAAGGCGUUGAUACCCACAUGAUUUUUGUAUGUUUAAAAGAAGUUCUCUAGCAUAGGAAACAGUAAGAACCUCCUGCAUCCCUAUUUCCUUGAGGAUUUUCACGAAUGGGAGAUAUAAACUAGGGAGUUCAAAAGCAAAUGGUGAAAGGUUAACCAUCAGACGAACAAAAAGAGAAUUCACGGUAACCAAGCGAGUUCCAUUUGCUACCGGCACAAAGGCCACUUUCUGCAAUUCUAGAAUAUCUGCCAGAAGAAGGUUAUAUAUAGAAGAAUAAAUGGCCUCAUAAAUGAAUUGUAACUUCAUAACUUGUAAAUAAUUAAUAAAGCCAUUUGAAUUUAAAGAAUUGAAGGAUGACUAUAUCCACAAGUAACAUUUGAUUUAAAUUAGAAAGGUAAAAUAAUUUGAGUUUUGAAUAUCCACAAAUAAUUUGACAUCAAUAAAUGAAGUGUUUUUUGCAUUUCUAACCAAAUUUCACAAUGAUUCAAGGAUAAAUAACCAAAUAUCAGCAUAACAAUAUACUGCCAAUCUCAAACAUUUUUUACUAUAUUUGUUUUUUUUUCUGGAAGUAACCACUUUCAUAUGGUAAAAGAAAGAUCAAACCUAAGAGUGCUAGCAUUACCAAUAAACAACAUGUCAUGUCCUAUCAGCUUGGUAUCUUCUGGUGUCAUUACACUCAUUGGUCUCAGAGCAUUUAUCAUGCAACAAGUCUGCAUUAUGAAGGCCUUAGGAAGCGGGUGUGUAAAAAGAUUUGCCUUCUUAGGCACAUCACCUAAGCAUAUACCAGCACAAAAAUAGGACAGCAUGUUCCUUGUCGUAUCUGUGAUAUAGAUCUAUUUUGAUCAUCUACAGGUGCAGGAAGAAGUCUUUUACAUUGGAGACCUUACUGGUAGCUUUGGAUGCUUACCAAAAUCCACCUUUCUUAGAAAUGUUUCCUCAUUCCAGAUUAAUCAUCCAAAGCAUAAUCUUCAGGAUCAAGACUAAUCAAGCAUGCACAUUAUUUUAAAAAUCCAAAUCAUGACAAAGGCAUUUCAAUUUAAAUGUUGUUUCAUAUGUGCAACAAUUUAUACGUAACCGAGAAUUGCUGAUGGGUUAGUUGUACUACUACCAAAGAAUACUGAUAGGAUAUUUUGUACUAUCAUCUAUAGUAUUUAAGGAACUAAAUUCAUAAAUAUUAAAACAAACAUAGCCAUCAUGUGUGAUCACCUCAAGCUUUGGGACCUGAAGUCUUAACCUUGAAGACUAACUUAAAUAUUAUGACUUUGGUUCUCCUUUUGGAACUUUUAAAUCUGAUUCAUGCUGUGACCAUCAGACAAUUGUUCUCAUGUGAUCCAAAGCUAUGCUUAUACACAAUAAGGCGGGUAAGUGAAACCUAUUCCAUAAAUAAUAAGACUAACCAUAGUUGCAGAAGCCACAAAUGGUCUAUUUGCAUAACACAUGACAUAGACAAAUAUGAUGAUAAGAUACCUUAACUGAAUUUAGGAAAAAUUUCAAUGAGAAGAAUAAAAUCCAUUAUUCCAUUAAACAUCCAUCUGUUUCCAGAAUAUCUACUUGACUGAGAUUCAGUUUUGAGAAUAAGGUAUUCAGAGAUUGUGUACUUCUACUGUUUUGGCGUCGAUUCACAUUUAAUCCUGAUAAAGCAUAAAUACUUUCAGAUUUAGCAGUGUCUUAGGGACAUUUUUAAAUAUAUUUGAUGCAUUUUCUCUUUAUUUCCAUAGGAAUUGCUCUGAGCAGCAUAAAAAUUACAAGUGCUAGCAAUAGUCUACAGUAUGUUCUCAUCAACCCAAAGGCAAAUGUAGAUUUUCCUACUCUGCAACCACCUCCAGAGUUCCGAGCUUGUUGUCUUAAAUAUUCAGUUUCCACACUAAGAAUAGUCCAUUAAAACAUGCUGCUAUAAAACCUAGAGAUUAUAUAAUCUUGAAUUUGACAACCACAUCUGGCUAAUUACAGUUUAGUAAUGAUGCAAAUCUACCAUAUCAUCAUUGCAGAUGCAUUAACCAUAAUAGAGCAUUCUGUAUCCUAAGCAAUAGUUUAUUCAAACAUGCUGCUAUAGAACCUAUAGAUUUUAUAAUCCUGGAUUUGACAACCACAUCUGGCUAUUUACAGAUUAUUCGAGAUGCAAAUCUAACAUUAUCAUCAUUGCAUAUGCAUUAGCUUGGUUUCAGAUAAUCCAAUUUAACCAUCUUCAGAAGUGACAAUGAAAUUUAAGAUAUAUGCAGAAAAUUUUCUUGCACAUCUCAUAUUGUUAUUAGCAACCACCCAGUAUCACUAAAAACAAUUAAAAAAACCAACCAGUAGUGAGCUAUAUGAUGUGAUAUUAGUCAUUGAUCAGGCCAGUAAAUAUGGCCUAAAUUGAUCAAACCAGUAAAUAUCGGUUGGUAUGAACAAGUCCAACAGGUAUUUGAAACCUUAUUUAUUAGCACCAUCCAAAACAAAAACCCAAGUGCUAUAAAUUUAAUCUAUCUGGUACAAUAUCACAAAGCCUAGGGAUUAGUGGAGAGCAACAAUAAUUGUAUGGCCUAAAAUGUAUAUAGAUAUGCAUGUAUGUAAAUAUGCAAACCUGAAGAAGAGAGUGUUCCCCAUAUCUUAUCUAGGUACUUCAAAAUAUCUAGAAAGGCAUCUUCUACCGUCAUCAUGCCUGUUGAUGUAGGCCAGUGUGCAAGGGUAUCUUCACCGUUAGCUCUUCCAACAACCUAAGACCAUUUUUCUCAGAAGUCAAAAACUGUAAACAUGUAAAUGUAAACAUAAAAUUUCAUUUUGUCACCUAACGAUGUGUUCAUUCACCUGCAAAUGCUUCAAGACUGUAGAAAAAAGCGGAGGACUUCUCAAGCGAAAUGCUCCACAGGAAUAUUCAGGAGGAACAACAUUUUGCUUGACAAGAAUUGGAGCAAUGGUCCAAGCCAAUGGCCAAUCUUUUAACAAGACAGCAUCACUAUAUGAAGUAAGUACCCUCUUCCCACCCUUCUUACCACCAAUACUAGGGAAACCUUUCUCAGCAGGUAUAAAUGAAAUCUUCCCAAGAUUCUCACAGAAAGAGUUGUCAUACAGAGAGGCAAAGUUUGCAAGUAUUGUUUCUACCAAAGAGACAGCUAAAUUCCAUACUUCAAAAGAAACAUCAUUUUGGUUACCUGAGAAAUCUGCCUCAAAAUCAUCUGCAUCCUGCCUGUCACCAAUAUGUUCAUUUCCUAGCUUCUCUAUUUGCCUUGCACAUUCAAUUAUGGUGUCAGCUUGCAAAAAUGUUCGAAGCCCUGUUUUCUUUAAAAUCUGUAGCCAACCAUCUGUAAUGAACCUCUCCCCAGGAAACUUGUUGUGUUCCCCAGAGAAGAUUGAUGUCAGCAAACAAUCAUGAGGAUCAAGCAGGUCCCGUGGUUUGAAUAGCUCUGAACAAAGUUCAUUUGCAUUACGUACAAAGCUAGUCUCUUUCAAGGAGUUCACUACAGUAGAAUCUAAUUGUAGGUCUUUCCAGUUCAAGUAGAUGUACAACAAAAUAUCUUCCUGUUCUCCUGAAGUUUUCCUCUCAAAAUCAGGCAAGGCAAAUCUCACUAAAACAUCCUGAUCUCUUAGCUCAUUUAUUCCAAGAGCAUGGAAUAAAGCAUUUGCAUCCAUGGUAUUAGAAAGACACCGCUCAUCUCUAGGACGAAAGAAUGUAGACGGAGAAAGAAUACAUUGAUCAGGGCUGAAUAACCUUGUAUACGUACCAAGAACAGUUCUAAAUAUGGGAAGUUCUCUCAACAAAUCUAGCUCUUCUCUUUUAUAUGGACACCCAUUGAAUGACUUAACAUCCAAAGCAAAUAGGGCAAAUAGUUUGUCACGGUCUUCAUUUGAUAAAUCAACUGGCACAGAAAAAUAGCCAGCAACUUUGGCAGCAAGUAAUUUUGAUACAACUACCUGACAAAGAGUUUCGGAAUGUGCUGGGAGAAUAUUAUUGGGUACCCCAUACUCCAGGAAGGAGACAUCAUAUACAGGUACAUUAAAUUGAUUAAGAAGACAAAACAACCAUGGAUAUUUUGACUUUGUUAAUUCAAAAGCAGAAUAAUACAACUUGUUUAGUUCAAGGUUUGGAAUAUUAUCCACAGAAGAAUCCAGUAAUCCAACCUCUUCACUAUUGGUUCCUGAAGUUCCAUUCACAAGAUUUAAGUCUGAAAUUGGUGGUACAAAUACUAGGUGAAGCUCUUUAACACGACACAAAACUGGCCCAUUCAGAAAGGCAGGAAUUAAAGGCCAAUCAGCUAUAAGUGAUAGCUCACCCUUUAAGGCUGUAAAGGUUUUCCAGAAAAGUUGGAUCCAUUCACGAGUGGGUCCAUCACCUGGUGGGUCAGUAUUGGUGUUCCAUGAAACCCAUGGAGCCCUAUUACUGCUCAUUACCUGACUCACCCAUUGCUCAUUAAAAAGAAACUUCAAAUUGCUUGACAAUAAGUGAGCAGAGAAACCUCUCAAUUUUAAAUACCUUUGGAUGUUUUUGUCAGAAAGGAGGGCAGUCAAAAUAUGCUUUUCUAGACAUAGUGGAUGGACAAAGCCAUCUGUCAAAGGAUGCAUAAAAGAUUGCUGCUCCUUGCUCCCAAUCCAAAGCUCAGUCACUCCAAGCCUCACAAGGUGCUUUGUUGCAGUUGGAAACGGUAUGCCUUUGAGUUCAGCAACUACAGAUGGCAGUAACCGAUCUGCAUAUGGACCAGUACCUGCAGUAGCAGGUAUGUAGGACAGAGUAUUACCUGUCCUGCCAAUAUCCUCAACAACACCACGACCAAAAUCAUAUAAAGCCUUGCCAAAAUAUGUAACAAUUUCAAGUGCAUCACCACCUGAAUUACUGGAGUUCUGGGCAGCAUUUUGAUGGGAUCUGAGCACAUUUGUGUUUGAAGGUAUGAUGCUUUCAAUCUGCAAACUACUCCCUUCCCCAGAUCCAUCAGUUCUUAACAGACCGAAUGACUGCUGCAGCUGAAUGUCAGAUAAGCAAUAUUCCAAGACAUCUAUAUAGGUCUCAAUAGAUCUAACUAAAACAGAUGAGGAGGAUUUGAGGAGAUCGCGAACCAUCUUAGGCUUAAUUUCUUUCGUCUUAAUUCCAACAGCCUGAAUUUCCCUGACCAAUUCCCAUGGUACAGAAAACACAGGAUAAUGUUCUUUUAUGAAACUGCAAACAUUGGUUGGUGGCAAGUUGCUGUCAUCUCCAUUUCCUGAUUGAGAUAAAAACAUGCCUUCAUCAGCUUUGACAGCAUUUCCACCAUAAAGUUGCCAGACAGGAAGGUCAACAAGGCGCAUAUAGAAAGGUCUUAUCACUUGCUCAAUUAAUGACUGCCAAUCUGCUUCAAUUUUUUUAGAUGAACUUGAACCACUGGCAGCAACAUCAAGCUCACUAGAGAUGACAAAUUGUUGUUUAGACCUUGGCCAGAAAGAGUAAAUUUUAUCACCAUAAGCCUGCAAAAUAGAGCACACGGAACGUGCCAAAUUUGGCUCAAUCGUAGAACUGAUGGGUUCCUUCCUAAGCCUUUGAAAUUCCAAAAUCAAUUCAACAUAUGCAUCACGAACACACAACAUCAAUUCUCUGUUCCAAGCUUCAAUUAUAUGAUUUCUAGUUUCAAGUUGUAGCUCUGGAAAAGUUGUUUCAUGAGGACGGCUAAAAAGAUACCGCCCACCAUCAUGGCAUACAAGAAAACAUCCAAGAGCAGUGACAGGCAUACUUAAGGCUCCAGACAGGGGAAGAGGAGACAAUACACAGCUGGAUGUAUGAGCAUUUAUAGGAUGACUAUUCUUAGAUAUCUGAGCUGCAACUCCAGCAAUGGGUGUUAAAUCAUAAGCAAGAUACCUCCUGAAAAGAAGCUUAAUUAUUCAAUUGAAUGCAAUGAGAAAGUAGCAAUCCUAAAGUUACAAGUAAUCAUUCUCCAAGACACAUUUCACUUGGUCUUGCCAUAGGUUUAUGUAUAUAUAAAGGAUAUCACAACUUCAACAACUGACAGAUAUAUGUUUGUCGAUUAUUUUGGCUACAUUUUAUGUCUCUUAUCAACAUUAAGAUGUGUCACAUGCUUCACACAACAUCUUUAUUGGAUUUUGAAUACAGCUUUUUAAUAUAUGAUGAAACAAAAGCAGGCCUUCAAAAAGAGGUCUGCAACAAAUAUUGACUAGGAUAUCAUGUCAACUGACGUUCUUUAUUAUUUUCUCAUGAUAUGAUGAACCAUUUAAGUAUUUUUUUCCUUUGAACAGUGAAAGAUGCAACAAAUAUUGACUAGGAUAUCAUGUCAAAGAUAAGAGCCAUAUCAAUUAUUAUUUAUAAAAUAACUAAAAUUCACCAGUCCAAUACUACCAGAUAGUUAUCACAAUUCAAAAUGGAAAAAAAAACCAGGUGAAGCACAAAGACUUCAUAAUGCAGAUAGAUUAAUCUACAGUCAUCACAAGUGCAUUUCUUAUGCAUUGGCCUGAAAUAUCCAACUGAUGAAGUUAUGAACAAAAAAUUUACGUCUUUCAGAGCAAUAAUUGUCGUACCACCCAAAACGAUACGAAAUAAGUGGUACACACUAUUCCGAGUGUGGACCGAUAUACAGCCCACCUCCAUUUUCGGCUGUUCGAUCCAACUGAGGGAAAAAAAUGAAAGAAACCUAAAACAGCAUUGGGCCCAGGCCAAUUCAGUAAUUGAAAAAAAAAAACUCCUCUUCCUCUUCUUUCUUCUUCAUCCUCCACCUCCACCGCUUCCUCUUCUUCUUCUUCCUCCUCUACCUACAUCGCCUCCCCUUCUUCCCCCUCUUCCUCCACCGCCCCUUCCUCUUCUUCUUUUGUCUUCCUCUCCAAAACACCAGGACAGUCCAACCCAAUCACUGAAAUGGGAUUGGUACUUGAAACGGUGAUCCUUGUAGCAAAGGCAUAAUAUCAACCCCUCAACUAUUUAGGAUAAGAACCAAAUGAUACAAGUUUAUUUCCUAUAUCAUUUGAUUAUUUGCUUAUUAACCAAUAUCCUUGUGUAACCUAAAUAAAGUCCUCAGAUCCAUGAUAUUUUUAAUUAAAUCACAUCUUAAAAAUUCAUUUUGAAAAGCAUACCUAUCAAGGGCCAUGUUUCGAGUUUGUCCAGACCCCAAAGAAAGUACUACAAGCCAUUUAUCAACAGAUAUACUCCCACCAUUAAUCACCUGAACAUCUAUCACAUUUAUCUUUGUGGCUGCACCGGAACCACUAAACAAUCUUGAUAUAUGAAACUUUCUCCAUUUUUUUUCUGAAAAUGGGUUCCUUGAAAUUGCAAAUGAUGGGUCCACUGAUAUGGAGUAAUUUAAUGAUGGGUGCAAACUUCCCUCAUCCCACGUUGAUAAAGACACCUGAAAUCGAAGAAGAAUUUAGUGGUAUAUGCCAAAUAUGAAAGAAAGCUGCAAUUUGUAGUAAAUGAACGAAAAAAAACCCAAAUAGUGCCUUCUUAUUUAAAUAAAUGUAUUAUUCUGGGAAAGAAAGAAAACAAGUAGUCUCCACAUGUCAGAUUUUACUAGCACGACAUACCAAAUAAAGAGAACUAAGGAUUUUGGAGUUCCUUCCAGAAAUGAAACUAAGAAUGCUUUGACCCCAAAAAAAGACAUUAUCAACUAUAUGGAAGUGAAAAACUAACAAGGGAGAUACAUUUUGUCAAGUAGUAUAUCAAUUAACAACAUAUAAGAAAAUGCAUCAGCUGACUUAUGUCAAAAGCUAAAUUUCAAUCCUCAGCUGUAUCUUGUCAUGCUAGUAAACUAACUUGUCAAAGUCUGGAUUGCAAAAUUCAGAAAACUACAUUUAGAAAAGAUAAACCCAACCUCAAUUUCUGAUUAUGCAACUGCAGCUUACUAUGCCAAUUUGUUAAAACACAAACAAGUAAAAGAAAAAGGUAAUAUUAGAUAUUUUUUCAAAAUUCAUUUCAUUUUAUUUGGCACAUUGACAUAAUAUUAUGUUGUAACAAAACAAUUGAUGGUGACGAUCACAAAUAAUGACAAAAAGAAGAGAACUGCUUCAGUUCUCAAGUCCCACCUGCAACAACUAAUUGGAGAUUAAGCAAAGUAGUCAAAUAAUUCUAACUCUACGUUGGUGGCUAUUUUUAUAGAUGCAGAUCAAUCAUCAGCACAAUGUUCUUAAAAAGAAUGCCAUAUAAUUUUUUUAGAGCGAUUACAAAGAAUAUAAAAAAGAAAAUCCAGGUUAAGAAAUAAGUAACUGGACAUAUGUGCUAACAUGCUAGCAAGCAAAAGCUGCAAAACUAUGUACAACCUUUUGACUUUUGAGUAUAAACUGUAGAAUCAAAUGACAACAAUAAGACAGUCAAGGAGGUCAAAAUGAAGGAAGCAAUAUACAGAAUCAAAUAAAAUGUUUAUCUUCGAUAUUUAUUACCUGCAGAACUGACUUUAAGAAUAGAAGUGAUGAUGAAGCAUGAUGCAUAAAUCGGUCAAAAAUAUGCUUCACUCUUAAACAAUCAGAUUCUUCUUCUUUCCUGCAUUUUGAAGAUAAAGGCAUGCGUAUAACCAUGGAAUUAGAUGAGGACACUGAAGUCUCCUUAUUAAUUAGCAUUGGACUGAAUUGAUCGUUGAAUCUCUUAGUCAAGUCAGUAUCUGUAAAAUAAAUAAGCCACACAAGAAAUAUAGACGGUGAGUUAGUAAAGAGCAUAUGAAACAGAAGGAUCUGAUAUCCUGAGCAAGCUUCAUUUAACUUUGGAAACACUAAAAUAGGCACUAAAUGGUCACAAAUGUUUCUUGUUCUUUAUUAUCUUAAUGCAUGCUAACCUUUUUGUUUUGGAUAUAUUUAGAUGGCAUAACCUCUAAAAGAACACAAACAAUAUGGACAGAUAAAGAACCUAUAUGCUGGUUAAACUGAAUACACUGACAGAAAAUAAAAUAGAGCCAACAUCACAACAACACCAAUUAAGAAUGUGAACAUGAUACUACUCCCGAAGUUAUUUUAGGGAACUCUACUACCAACCUUAUAGAGGAAACUCUGGCAUCAAUAAAAGAUUGAAUUUUCACAAGAACAAGAAACAUCUAGCAAAAGGAUAACAGCAGCAAUUAAGAUGUACCAGAGUGUCAAACCUUCCAAGAUCUUGUCUAACAAAUAAAAUAAUUUUACUUAAUCCAACAAAAUUUAUAGAAAACAAUAAUAUGCUUCUCACAAAAUGUGUGCUUGCUAAGUUGACUUUUUGACGGGACAGAAGCAUUACACUCAAUAGUAGUAAAAGGACAUGUACGUAAAUAAUGCAGAGGUAACAUGAUCAAACGUGAUAAUUAAUCUAUGGAACCAUGGUUUGCCUUAUCGGUCCAUACCGGUGUACCGAUUGACCAUCGGUAUGGAAUGUAUCGAUCUAUACUGACAUAUUGACAUAUGGUACGACAGAGUGUACUAACAGAACAGUAUAUACCACUCAUAUCGGUCCCCUAGUGGACCAAUACAUACCCCCCAUACCGGGUGGUACACUAUGGUAUGACGAACCUUGCAUGGAUGAUAGAACCAUGGUUUGCCGUACCGAACAGUACCGCCCGGUACGGGCGGUACGUACCGGUCCGACAGACUCUCGGUACGCGGACCGCCUCUUACCGUUCCGGUACUGUAGCAGUACUGUAGCACUGUAGCACUGCUACAGUGCUCGGCACACCCGGGUGUACCGCUCGGUACACCUCGGUAUACCGGUCGGUACACCCGUACCGUACCGUACCGAGCGCGGGUCGAAACGCCGGUACGGUACGGUACGGCGAACCUUGGAUAGAACAACUGCUUGCAUGAUGGAAUUCGAUCAAUAUUCACACUCAACUAAACUUUAUAAGCCCAUGACCCAAAUACAAUUGGACCUUCUGAAAAACAUAAAAAUUUAGAUCUGAUUUUGCAGUAAUCAGGCUCAAAUCAAAGAAAGACAGCAUCGUGGACUAUCGUAAUGUAGUAAUAAUGACUUCAUCUAUUACUCCGGACAAACUUGAUUACAGAUUUAUCAAAGAUUUACAGAAAAUGUAUACCAGCCAAGUAAUAUAAUCAUCCUGUGAUUUCAAAUCUAGAGAAAUAGUGUUCCAUGAACAUGACACAGGUACCAGUCAACAUAUUUAGAUAGUAAAAGACAUGAAGAUGUAAAAAUUUUAGGUUUACAGUUCGAUGUACCACCAGAAUCAACACAGCUAAUGAUUUAGAUCAUCAAUUUUCUAAAUUUGUGAUAAUUUGAAGUCAGCAACCUAAACAUGAAAAAGUACAUAAAUUUCUAAAUUAACCGUGGGAUUGAUCUAAAAUAAGUUAACCAGUAGGUAUGCAUCAUCUUUUCUAGCCAUGAGGCCCAUGACAACUGUAAUAAAACAUCAUCUGAAGAAUUGCACUAAUGAACAUGUCAAACAUGUGAGACAGCGAAUUUGUAUAGUAAAUAGAAUAAGCAACACCAGACCUAUCAGGGAGAACAAUCUUGCAGAGGGGCCACCAUUUGAAUGUGCAGCAAGAGCCAAGCCAAGAGGAUCGAAAAUGUAAAAGUAACCAGAGGAAACAAUGGUCAUGAGGUCACAGAUGAAGUAACCACUUAUCAAGCCUAACCCAUAGUGAAGAGCACUGCCUUGAACCUUCCAUGGAGGAGACAGGUGAAGAUUACAUAUUUCGUCCAUGCUCAAAGUUGGUCCUUCCAACACAAUUGUUAAAGAAGCAGACUGAAAGUCACCUGUAAAACAACAAAAAUAAAGAUCAAAAUCAAUUAUAAGUAGAAAUCAUGAUGUACCUAGUUUAAAGGCUGCCAUCUAAAAAAGCUGUUUUAUGAUCAUUGCAAUAUGAAACCCCAAGUCCAGAUGACCUCAAACCGCAUAAAGAGACCAUACUAACCUAGAUUCUGUUGGAGCAAUGAUUGUCGAGGAUGUUCUCGUUUAUCAUAUAUCAGGUGCACUUUCUUUGCCUUGCACUUGUCAGCCAACUCUACAAGGUCAAACAGUAGAAACUCACUGUCUCCAUACAAGGCAAGCAGCUCACAUAUUGUAGCAUAAUCCAUACAAGGCAAGUCCCUCAUCAUCUCCUCAUCAACUAAUGACAAGCUACGAAGUGAUUGUACCCCUAGAGUUCUAGCCAGUUCGUCGUUAAUGCUUGGGUGAACAAGAUGCUUCUCACCAGGAGAAUUGUUCUUCAUCCAUGGUGCAUCAUUGUAGACAAGACUCAAGGUAGGCAUCAGAAUGCCUGAAGAAUCAGGAAUCAGAAGUGAAUUUAGUAAUGCAUCAGGUAUUCGCUUCUCAAUAUAACAGUCAGCAAAGGCUUCCAAGACACGACGAACAAAACUCAACUGCUCAGCUGAUAAUGGUUCUUCACUAACAUCACGAUUUAAGCAUUGCAAUACAUGCACAUAAUCAAUAGCUUCAAAGGUUAAUUUGACACCUAAUUCAGAAAGCAAAACUCUAAAUUCUGAUAACUCAGAGGGAACAACAUAAAGAUAUGGAUGGUACUUCACGGGUGAGUCAAAUGCGAGCAACCUGGGAAACACAAAAUUGUCACCUAUGAACACCCAAGGAACACCAUCAAGAUAUUCUUUAAGAACUUUGAAUCUAUCAGUGCCAACAAAUUCCUGUAAGUACAAAUAGAUUGAGGGGAUUUCUCUUGUCAAGACUGUAUCGACAGAUGGUUCCUCCUCUGACUGCGUUUUUAGUUUAUCAUAGGACCUUGAGAGCUCAAUUAGUUGAGAACACAAGACUUCUAUAUUUGGUUUAUCCUUCCAACCAAGUUUCUGCUGAAGGUACAAUGAGCAGCAGUCACCAUCAAGAAUUCGCAUUUUGGAUGACACAAUCCACAUCUGAGAUUUUGGCCUUGUAGCAUUUGGAGAUGCCACACAAUUUUCUGAAAUGAACCAUGGAAGUCCAUUAACUGGUGGCGCAACAUAAACAGGACACCAAGCAAUGGUUGCCAACUCUGUCCAGAAUUCAUCUUCUGAUUGAUCAUGAACAAAGUUGGAAAAAAUGUCAAAUUCACCCUGAUUAGAUCUGCAGAGUCCAUCUAAAGGGGCUUCCACUUGUGAAUCUCCAAAAGCAAAACUAUCACUCUUGGACAGUAUCAAGGAAUCACAUCUAUCAUCUUUUUCAUUGACGCUAGACUGUGAGAGCUGAAACCCAAGAAAGUUUAAGAAUUCAAGAAGCCUUCUACCGUAAGCAAGUGCAUCGCCAUUGCCCGAGUCAUGUAAAAUUGAAACUGUCCUAGCACCAUCAAUUAAACUUGUAAAACUCAUAGAUCUUUUUAGGCCAAGGCUUACAAGAGAAUCGAGCAUUUCAGCUUUGAUAAGCUUGUCACAAGGAAAGAACACUUCUUUAUGAAGCAUAUUCUGCAAGCCAGGAACACGAGGAUCAUAAAGCCUGGAGAAAAAAAGUUAGUUCAGAUAGUUAAAAGAAAUAAUAUUAAUCCUUGAUAAGAAUGCAUGCUUGUUGAAAACAUGUAACAGAAGGUAUCAUGCAUGCAACUUAGAUGAAGAAUUUUUUUAAGAAUAAGACUUCAGGAUCCAUUUGGUAAUGAAGAAACUGGAAAGGGGAUGAGGAUGAGAAUCAUUUAUAUUCAAUGUAAAUGUUUUACUUACAGCAAUAUCAUUCUCAUUCCAAAGAAGAUCCAAAUUACCUUUGAAACUAAAAUUGACAUUUUCAAUGUUAAUUUGAUUCCCACCUCCCCUUAGGAAUAAAUUCCAAUUCACAGUUUCACAUUAAUAACCUUUCUAUCACUUGCUUCUUUCCAAAAUAAAAAUAAUAUAUAUUUUAAUUAAUGUAAAGUUAAAAUGAUAUGACCAAAAUAUAGAAGUAAAAAAAUUAUGUAACAUGAUAUAAAUACUUAUAAUUAAUAAAAAAUAAAUUUAAAAAACCCAAAAAUUAAAAAAAAAAUUAAAUACAAAUGUAACAUAGUACAAAAACUAAACAAUAAAACAUAAAACUAUAAACAUAUAUGAAAAUAUAGAUUAAAAGUAAUAUUAAAAUAUAUAUACUAUAUAUAAUAUAAAAAAUCAUAAUUAAAAUUUAAAAAUUAUACAAUAUAUAUGUGAAAUUAAAUUAGUUAUUAUAAUUGAUACUAAUGUUGGUUUUUAUUCUGAGAUCCAUAAACCAAACAUGUAAAAGGACUUGGUCAUCCCAAAUCCGAUUCAACUUGAUUCCAAUCCACUAGAUUUUCAAUUUUAAUAUCAAUUCCAGUAUCAACAAUGAACUAAACACCACCAUGUAAUGUAAGAUUGGGUUUGGACCUAGAUUUCUCAAAGCUUGACUCAGAGAUAUGCUGGUAAAAGCAACUUGAGUUUAAUCAAACUGGGACAGUUUGCAAUGGUACUGCUUAACCGGUCAAAUUUUGAAUGAUUUUGACAAUUUUUUUUACAAAUUCCAGUCAGAAGUCCUAUAUAAUUAAUUGGUUGUAGUCACCAUAAAAGAAUGUUCAAAUUUUACAACCUCAAAACUGGUUCAAUAAUAAAGCAAUAACUGCCAUUUCAGAACCAUAUAAGUUAUAAUUAAUCAAACUCAAUUAACAACUUUCAAAAGAUUACCCUCCUUGGCAGCUGCAACUAAAAAAGAGAAGGAAAAGGAGAAAAGGGAGAAUAAAAGGAAGAACUUAGAGCCUGGGAAGGAAGAAUGAAUAAUUGAGGAAGGCAAUAUUCCUAUUUUUUCAGCUUGGUUUCUGUUUUCCCCUUUUUCGGUCAGUAUAACACAGCAUACCUAGGGUACCUUCCAUACUGAUUCAAUUAGCAAGAAAAUGAUUCUGCUGCUGAAACCCAUCAGGUGAUCAUAAAAAUCAAAGCAGACCCUGUAGUCAAAGAAGAUCUCACUAGAACAGAAAGUAGGGCUUUUGUAAUGUCCACUAGAAAAUAAAGUAGAUCUCACUAGAAUAGACAGCAAAGUAAUGCCUGAAUUUCAUGUAGAAACCUUGUAUUACAUGGCAGCCUGAUUACUGUUGCAGAGGCAUUAUACCAAGUCAACAAAUUUUAAAUGAUUUCAUCAGACGGCUGGUUUUAAUUGCAGAGAUAAUUCCAGCAAAAAUAUUUAAAUGAAGAGGAGAUGAAGAAAGGUAGACUGAUAGAUGAUUAAAAAGUCAAUAAGAUGUGAAGAAAGAGAAAAUAAAAGGAAACAAAAGCCCAACAGAAAGAGCAGGCCAGCAGGUGAGGACAACAAGUGCUUGAUCUUUCAAUUCAAUUUCUAAGAAAACUGCUUACAAGGUAUGUCAGAAUUCUAUCUAUCACGUCAAAAUUCUUGGACCUUGGGCUAUCUUAAGCUCUUAACACUUCAAUGGGAAAAAAGUAUCAAACAAAAUUUGAUCUAUUCUGAACCUGAGAUAGAUUCAAACCUAGGAUAGUAACUGUCCUAAAUUUAACAAAUCCAGCUUCUCAUUUCAUUCUAAAAAAAGGAAGAAGAUAGCACCAAAAUUCCUAAAGGAAAGAAUUGAUAUUUGACCAUUGUUUUAUCUGGACCGAAGGGGGUCGUUGGACUGGAAAACUGAGAAUGGACCAUUGACCAAGCCGAGAACAGAUGAUUAACCGCUCUGAUUCACUUAUUAAAUCAGUUAUGUUAAGAAAUCGGAAUGAACAGAUUGACUUAAUCAGUUUUUGGAUGACCCAUCUGAACCAACUGGGUUGAAUAAACUCAAUCCGUUUUUGUAGAUAUGGCCAUAAUUACAUAAAUACCCUUAACAUAGAUAUUUUUUAUUAUUUGUUUAAGAGGAUAGUUGUAUCAAUUUUGAAAUUUGGGUUAAUGUGAAAAAGAAAGUGGCCUUUCUCAUGCAAUCACUUCUCUCUUUUGAUCGCCCUCUCUUCCUCUGACCACCUCUUCUCCCUCUAGUCACCAAACAUGAGGAAAAUGAACCAAACAUUGUAACAAAUAAAAAAUGAAUUUGAAAAUUCAUGACAUGAUACUAAAUUGGCUCCUUGGUGUAGAACUAAUAAAUGACAUUAUAAUAAUUAAAAGAUAUUUAAUAUUUAAUAAAUUCAUAUGCAUCUGCUAUUUAAGUCAUGACAACUAUGUUCGAUGCUACCUGUACGAAACAAACGGUAUACAACUGUUAAAAAAAGUUUAAACAAUUCUUCAUCAAUUAGGGAUGGAGAAUGCAAGCCCUCUUCUUAGUGCAGAUGGAGAGCAGAAUCGCUGCUAUCGUCUAACACCACAUAUCUCCCCACCAUUACCAUUCAACAUCGCCUAUCUCGCCCACCAAAGUGUGCUACUGACUGCAGGCAGGGUCUGUCGUACCGAACCGUACCGCCCGGUACGGACGGUACAUACCGGUCCGACAGAUUGUCGGUACGCGGACCAUCUGUUACCGGUCCGAGUGCACUGUAGCACUGUAGCAGUGCUACAGUACUCGGAUACACCUGGGUGUACUGCUCGAUAUACCGUAUCGUACCGGUACCGAGCCCAGGUCGAAAUACCGGUACGGUACUGUAUUACGAACCUUGACUGCAGGUAUACUUCAUCGCUUCCUCUUCUUCCUUCUUCCUUCUCUUCCUCCAUUGCCUCUUCUUCCUUCUCCUCCUUCCUCCCCAUUUGUUCCUCUUCUCCUUUUUCUUCCUCUUUUAAACACCGGUACAUACGAAUCUGGUAGGGACCAAUACAGAUCUAGUACAUACUGGUCCGACCAGGGACCAGUAUAGUCUUGAAUUUGAUUAAUGUAAUUACUUUCUAGAAAUUGUCAUGUGUUAUUAAUCUGGGUAUGAGUUUAUGUUUAUAAUGUUGGUUGAUCUUAUCAUUUUUAUCGUAUUCUAUAUGACUAAAAUUUUGUUUUCAUUUGUUUAAGAUUUUAUUAUUUUAUUUUUAUAUUUUAUAAUUUUUUAAUAUAUAAUCUUAAUUUAUUUAUAUAUUUUAAAUUAUUUUUAAUUAAACAUUGAAUCAAACCAAUUAACUAAUCAACAGGGAUUCAGUAACCCAAGGCUUGACCAUAUCCUUUUUGGUUUGGUUCUGGUAACUAUGCUUUUAACUUGGACUCAGAUGCAUGUGAAUAACAUCAUAAAGCUAAACAUGACCAGCUUCAGGUACAUUGACAUUCUCCUCCUUGAUCUCAAAUAUGGCUUCCUUUACCUCCAAGUUGAAUCAUUAUAAUCCUGUUAAUACAUUACCUUUCCACAUAUAAUUGUGAAGUCUUCUCUUGUCAAACCAAAGCUCCAGGCUCCUAGCUGGAGCAGAGAUGGACUAGGUCUUGGCCAAUCUAUUUGUCUUAUUUUUAGAUGGAACCCAAAAGUUUAGGUCUCAGAAUAUAUUUUGACCACAAACCAUAGGCCAACCUACAGGUUUCCCAUAUUUGUAAUUUGAUUAACAAAUUUCACUGUAAAUUGAAAAAUUAAAGGGAACCAUGAUUCUCAGACUGACACAAAAUACCAAACUAAAAAGCAAGACUAAGUUGUCCUAGUUUAAUAAACUAAAAAGGGUCUCAUUGUGAUUAUUCCACAUUAGUAAUUGUUUUUCCUAAGAGUAGGAGAAAAAAAGGAGACCACACUUUUAUAGCAUAUAAAGUGUGGAAGCCUCUGAAUCAGAUAUAAUAGCAAAAUGAAAUAAUAAACAAGGAAAGAUUAAAAACGACAGUCUAAUGGACAAGGCAAUUAUGGUAGGAAAGCCAUAUUGUAGAGACUGACGGUAAAUAAAUGAUAUGUUUGGUGUUAUAAUAAUUUAAACCAAGGGACAGUUUUAGGUUUCUUUAAAUACUCUCUCAUUUAGGAGAGAGAAAAUAAAAGAACAGAUAAAUAUAAACUAACAACAAACUUGAAUUUCUACAAAGACUUCUUAAAUUAAUUUAACUGUAAACUGUAGUAAAAAUAAAAUAGAAAAUUAUACAAGAAAUUGCUGAUAAAACAAAUGAGCCUAUAAUUGGUCAUGAUGACUUACAGUUAGUAGUAGUGAAGAUGAGUCAUGAAAUCAAGCAGUUGUAAAAGAAUGAAAAGGGUAACAGUGUGGAAAAAAAUGACCAGUAGUUAGUAGGAUUAGAAAGGAUUUGAUUGCCAAUAAGGGUACGAAUUGUUCUUGUAUAUUGUGAAACCACAUGAACUUUUAUUUGAACAUACGCCUGUCAAUCAGUGAUAAUCACAAGCUUCGAUAAGUGCAAUUUAUUUCAUCUACCCACACAAGAUUGGUUUGGAAUACGUGAAUAUAUCUUCUUACUCCAAAACAUGCACAGACAAGCAUGGCAUAAAGGAAAAUAUGGAUAGAGUUACUACUCCCUAUGUGUUUUGUUAGCCACAUUACUGUCCUACACAUGUAAAACUUGUACAUUAUAUGGGAGUUUAUUGUAAAACCAUAACACUACAUUUUUAUUAAGAAUAGAGCAAUACAUGGUAUCAGAGAAUAUGACAUAUAUUUAAAAGUAAGCACCUGCUUAGAAGAUGUUGCAAAUGGAAAAAAUAAUUAAAUGUUAAAUCAGAGAUCAAUAAUCAUCCAGUGUGAGAAUCAUUAUCAGAAAACAUAAGGUACCUGGAAGGAUGUUGCCAGGACCCAUCGGCAGCUAAAACAAAUGGAAUGUCAGAUAGUGCAGCUUUUAUGGUAAUGUCUUCUUCUACCAAAAGUUUCACAUCAAGAAGAAUUGAAGAAAGAAUGCUUGGCUGAGAAAGGAAGUCAGGUAUACGGUUGAGCACAUGAUCCUUGUAAAAUUCAAACUUGGUAGGUUCCCUAAUGCGUAGAUAGCUUCUUAAAAUGCUCCUCUCUUUCUCAGAUUCAGUUCUGAUGAAAUUUGCAUCCAAAAGGUCCUCAUGUACACCUUCGGGUUUCAACCAUUUGACAGGACUAACCAAACUGGUAAGUUCUCUACUCCUGUAGCACUCAAAUACAGGGAGAAGCUUUAUGGUGUCAAUGUUCCUAGUACAUAGGUGGUUGCCAGAAAACCACUUAGAUUGGAAGAUAAAACUUCGAAAUUCAUGCUUCUCUCCCACUGAAGCACUGUCAAACAAAUCACUCAAAUUCUGCUGCUGGCAAGAAAUUGCCUGCAAAGCAUUGAGAAUACCAUUUGCUGUUGCAUCCUGAACAUAGUUCUUUAACUGUGGAUGAUCUAUUGGCAGAUCGGAUCUCAAAAAGGAACAUCCUAGUUUCUGCAACAAGGAAUACAUGUUCUCACUCCACCCUUCAUCUUUAAUAACAUUUGAAUUCUCAAUAAGUUGCAAGAGACAUCCAUUUCCAACUGGUAAUAUAGGCCACUUGGCAAAUAUCGAAAGAUCUGAGCAGGAUUCCCUCAAAUAACUCCAUAGCAACCCCAUCCACUGUAGACUUGGCUGACCUUGAAAGCCUGGAGUCCAAGAAACCUGCUUGGAAAGUUGCCAUUCAGUGGGCAGGAUCCUAGGAAAUAGUUCAACGAGGGAAAAGCAUGUCAAGACAUGGAUGUUUGAUUGCCCAGAAUUUGCCAUACUGUAUAACGUUUUAAAAGCUUCAUCUGGAAUUGUGCAGUCCACAAGAAGAUGUGGAAUUGAAUCUUUAAGAAGAUCAUAUUCAUGUUGGUAAGUGAUAAAUAUCCUUUCACCCUCCCCAUGCCUGUUAAUUGUUGUGAAUGAUCCAUUUGCUAAAGGAACCAAGGGCAAUCCCUGCAACUUAUUAUAGAAUGUAGAUCCUGUCAUGUCACUUAAGCAAUAUUCUAGAGUCAUGAUCACUGUCUCUUUGUUUUUAAAGCCACGCUUCCGUCGAAUCAGUAAGGUUCUCAGUAAGUGAGGAUUCAAAAAAUGCAAUGAGGGGCAUACCUCCACAAAGUUCUCCACAAUUGACUUGGAGAACGAUAUAAUAGGCAAACCGGCUUCAGAUAAUGCUUCUGCAAGUUCGACUGCCUUUGGAAAAUCAAAAUCAGGAAAAAUAGCUUGUUUUGCUGAGAUCCAUUGUCCUCCUCUAGCCUUUGUGUAGAGGACAGUUAGUCCAAGAUCAGCAAUAGAUGCAUAUACUUUUCGUACCACUGAAGACCAUGGUUCAACCCCUACAGCAGUGGGCCAAUGUGUAAAGAAGAGAUCACAUGGACCAAUCUCUUGUGCAAGGACAUCAAGCAACCGACCGAGAGAAGGAGCAAUAACAUCUUCAAGGAGACAUAUAUUCCACUCAGAUCGUGCUUUUC